UAGGGAAUCUUCCACAAUGGACGCAAGUCUGAUGGAGCAACGCCGCGUGAGUGAAGAAGGUUUUCGGAUCGUAAAUCUCUGUUGUUGGUGAAGAAGGAUAGAGGCAGUAACUGGUCUUUAUUUGACGGUAAUCAACCAGAAAGUCACGGCUAACUACGUGCCAGCAGCCGCGGUAAUACGUAGGUGGCAAGCGUUGUCCGGAUUUAUUGGGCGUAAAGCGAGCGCAGGCGGAAUGAUAAGUCUGAUGUGAAAGCCCACGGCUCAACCGGGGAACGGCAUCGGAAACUGUCAUUCUUGAGUGCAGAAGAGGAGAGUGGAAUUCCAUGUGUAGCGGUGGAAUGCGUAGAUAUAUGGAAGAACACCAGUGGCGAAGGCGGCUCUCUGGUCUGCAACUGACGCUGAGGCUCGAAAGCAUGGGUAGCGAACAGG
RNAcentral lists this ribosomal RNA (429 nucleotides) under bacterium. RNAcentral's name for it is "partial 16S ribosomal RNA". It matches the Rfam family "Bacterial small subunit ribosomal RNA", at positions 355 to 776 of the family's 1533-position model. The record is from RNAcentral.